UUGGAGGUAAUAUUUUCUGCGAAAUCAAAAACCGGGGAAGAAAAGAAAUCAUGUCACAAGAUCGUUGGAAACAUAUCCCACCUCAAGACUCUAUCUCAUAUUCUCAACACGUGUCACCGUAACUUUGUUUUUGAAGUGAACCUGUUUUUUCUCUUCCUUCUUCUUCUUCUCCCAAGACCAAGACUUCUUCCCACAUCAAACUCAACCCUCCCCAAAUCUAGCAGAAGAAGUGGAGAACUCAUUCAACUGGAUUUUUAUCGAAACCCUUUCUCCAUCUAAAGAGGAAUUACAACAGCUGACCGUCAAAAACUGAAUCCUUUUUUGCCUAAUUUAAGUGAGAAUGAGAUAAACAUAACUACUCAAGGGAGAAUGCGCAACUAUAUCACUUAUGCCACUGGUGUGCUUCAGGUGAAUCUAGAUUAGUUGAAGACGAAGUUGGAAAAGGAGAAUAUCACGUUUGGCUCGAGUAAGUGUUUCCAGGCUAAUCUGUUUGAGGCAAAUAUAUAGCUAGAAAAUAUUGUCUCUUUUUGUUUGUUCCGCGUGUGCAACUUCCUGAAGAAAUGUUGCAGAUGCUAUGUUCUUAAAUACACU
Long non-coding RNA from Papaver somniferum (opium poppy), 591 nucleotides. RefSeq lists it as uncharacterized. The record is from RefSeq and is a predicted model, not a curated record. Lineage: Eukaryota; Viridiplantae; Streptophyta; Magnoliopsida; Ranunculales; Papaveraceae. The transcript has 3 exons.